This 363-nucleotide ribosomal RNA is filed under the name Providencia sp. DF14SA. RNAcentral describes it as "bacterial SSU rRNA". It matches the Rfam family "Bacterial small subunit ribosomal RNA", at positions 103 to 469 of the family's 1533-position model. Lineage: Bacteria; Pseudomonadati; Pseudomonadota; Gammaproteobacteria; Enterobacterales; Morganellaceae. The record is from RNAcentral.
CGGGUGAGUAAUGUAUGGGGAUCUGCCCGAUAGAGGGGGAUAACUACUGGAAACGGUAGCUAAUACCGCAUAAUCUCUUAGGAGCAAAGCAGGGGAACUUCGGUCCUUGCGCUAUCGGAUGAACCCAUAUGGGAUUAGCUAGUAGGUGAGGUAAUGGCUCACCUAGGCGACGAUCCCUAGCUGGUCUGAGAGGAUGAUCAGCCACACUGGGACUGAGACACGGCCCAGACUCCUACGGGAGGCAGCAUUGGGGAAUAUUGCACAAUGGGCGCAAGCCUGAUGCAACCAUGCCGCGUGUAUGAAGAAGGCCCUAGGGUUGUAUAGUACUUUCAGGCGGGAGGAAGGCGUUAAUGCUAAUAUCAU